AGGAGAAGAUGAUCACGCCGAGAGCAAAGUUUUCAAAGAUGGCAGGAGAAGAUGAUCACGCCGAGACCAAAGUGUUCAAAAAUGGCAGCAAUAUUUCUUCAACAUUUGCUGCCACCAACCACCUCAACCUCUCUAUAAAUUGAGGUGAGUUCUGCAGAAGGAAGAAGUGCAGAAGUGCGAGAGGUGUGAGGUAAAACAAGAGAAAAUUUUAAAUUUCUUACUUGCAAGAGCUCAAGUGAGCUCCCUUCGCCGGGCCGUUUAUUCGCCGACCGGCCACUAGGCUCUGAACCGAGAACGUGUACUCGUUCCUCCAUCUUCAAGCUACCAAACCCAACAAUCGAAAGGCCGAAACCUUCUCUAUAUUUUCCCGACCAAAGGCCACAAUAUCCUUCGGAGGCCAACGUCGAAUUCCCGACUUAGCCACCGGCCAACUUACGGCUUUCGUUUCUCACUAUCCUUACGACGAAAAAGGAUUGAGAAAACACCGUUGUGUAGCCUGAUCUACCUCGCACGAGGAAGACUAAGUCGUAGACCUUCGCGGCUAAACACCAUCGCGGAACGACGACCGGAAAACCCCCGACGAACAACUUCCAUUAGUGCUCACUUGGACAAGGGUUGAGCUGAUGUGAUGAUGGUGCUGCAAUGAGCGGAGUCUCCAGGGUUGUUAAUAAAUAGUUAACCUGUCUAGAAUAUGUCUUCAUACAUAUGUCUAGCUACUUUCCGCUGCAAGAUGUUGUUGAUGUUAUAGUAUGUUAUGUCAUACUUUGAGUCUUAAGAGAAUGGUUUCAUAUGAUGUAUAACUUGAUUAAUGAUAUUAAUUAAGUUUUAUGCUGUC
Molecule: long non-coding RNA, 835 nt
Organism: Salvia miltiorrhiza (redroot sage)
Lineage: Eukaryota; Viridiplantae; Streptophyta; Magnoliopsida; Lamiales; Lamiaceae
Exons: 2
Source: RefSeq, a predicted model, not a curated record